RNAcentral lists this long non-coding RNA (979 nucleotides) under Gossypium barbadense (sea-island cotton). RNAcentral's name for it is "long non-coding RNA (GBAR_LNC005208)". Lineage: Eukaryota; Viridiplantae; Streptophyta; Magnoliopsida; Malvales; Malvaceae. The record is from RNAcentral.
CAAACUCCUGCAAUUUGCUGCAACUAGUAACCUCCAUUCAACGCUUUUUCUUCUCUCUAUUUAUUUUGAGUUUUUUUUUUUUUACUUAAUUGGAUUUUUAUUUCAAUAUGAUAUUUAUUUUUGUUUAUGUUUUAAUUAAUUUGAUUUUUGUUCCUGAUUUUAUUUUUGUUCAAAUUUGAUAAAUUAGGACGUGGUUGAAUACUCUAUAGCUAGUCAAAAUAUUGAGCCCAUACUCUUUACUUUUAGCAUAUCAAAUGUAAUUGCUGAAUUUAUGUUCUUUACUUGAAGAAAUAUUCUGAACUUUCUGUGUAGUGGUCAUCGAAAGUGCAGAAAGAAAAAAACUGAAACUCUUAUUCGUUCUUCAUAAAUUUAAUUGAUGAUAUUUGCAUGGGUUCGAUCUUAUUUUUCAAUGAAGACAUGCCUUAUUUCUGUUUUAUCUUCACUGUCAAGUAACAUUGAUCCCUCUACUAAUUUUCAUUUUUCUGGUUCGAGAUUUUCAACCCCACUGUUGUUAAAGAUCAUUUGAAGAAAUAUUUUUGGCACUCAUCUUUGGAAGCUUGAUCUUGUGUUCCCUUAAAAAAUUAAAAAGAGGAAAUCAGUUAGAGUGGUGUAAGUUCUUUCACAAGUUAAUGCUUCUGUUAUAACUCGGACAAUAUUAUGUUUUAUGUUUGCAGGCCAUCUAAGUUUUCUCUAUAUUACAUAGUGGAGUUUGGUUAAUGGGAGUUUUUUAAGGUUAUUGUCUUCUAAAACAGAUUAGAACCCUUCAUAUAUGUGACCAUAUUUAAUCUUAAUUUUGUAGGGGAACCUUGUGGAUGUAUCAUUGCAUGCUUGAGACCAAUUGUUUCCUCAAAAUAUAACCUUUCUUGGACACAUGGUUUCUUUGUUUUUGCUAAUAGGAGAAGUAGAAAAUGAUCUUCUUUAUUCUAUUUCUAUAUAGUAACUUGGUUGUGUAUCUGGUUUUUGCUUAAUAAGAGACCAU